RNAcentral lists this ribosomal RNA (404 nucleotides) under uncultured bacterium. RNAcentral's name for it is "partial 16S ribosomal RNA". It matches the Rfam family "Bacterial small subunit ribosomal RNA", at positions 30 to 526 of the family's 1533-position model. The record is from RNAcentral.
AUUGAACGCUGGCGGCAGGCCUAACACAUGCAAGUCGAGCGGAGCGGCGGACGGGUGAGUAAUGCCUAGGAAUCUGCCUGGUAGUGGGGGAUACCGUCCGGAAACGGGCGCUAAUACCGCAUACUAUCAGAUGAGCCUUGGUCGGAUUAGCUAGUUGGUGGAGUAAAGGCCUACCAAGGCGACGAUCCGUAAUUGGGCCGAGGGGAUGAUCAACCACACUGGAACUACGACACGGUCCAGACUCCUGCAGGAGGCAGCAGUGGGGAUGAUGGGAUAAUGGACGAAAGGCUGAUCCAGCGAUGCGGCGUGUGUGAAGGAUGUCUUCGGAUUGUAAAGCACUUUAAGUUGGGAGGCGUUACCAAAAGAAUAAUCACCGGCUAACUUCGUGCCAGCCGCGGUAAUAC